Molecule: long non-coding RNA, 1165 nt
Organism: Carassius gibelio (silver crucian carp)
Lineage: Eukaryota; Metazoa; Chordata; Actinopteri; Cypriniformes; Cyprinidae
Exons: 2
Source: RefSeq, a predicted model, not a curated record
UUGAGUCAGUUUGGGAGUUCGGAGCGGGAUCGAAUCAUUUGAAUCAGUUCGGGAGUUCGUAGCGGGUUCGCGAAUCAUUUGAGUCAGUGUGGGGAUCGCAAAUCAUUUGAAUCAGUUCUAUUUCCGUUUUCCAAGCGUGUUUAGGUGUGAUAUGUGAACGUAUUUUUUGUUUUACUGAUGUGCCUUUUAACAGUAUUAAGUAUAUUCAAAAACUAAACAAAUUGUGCCUAAAAAGUGCACGCAUCUAGGCUAAUGUAAAGUUACAUGAUGAAGUCAUACUAGUGCGUGUGGUGUGUGUUCUUGCAUUAUUCUGUGUAUUCAAAUACAUUUAUGAAUGCAUGUGAAUGAUCACAAAAUUCAAGAAAUGGGGGUGAGAAAAUGUAUAUAUUUAUAUUAUUUUAUGUAGUUAAUCAAUAUCACACGAAGAGUGCCAUUUCAGUUUUUCACUCUGCGAUCGCCUGAUUCGUAGAUUCAUAAAACCGUCAAUUAAUUCGCAGUUACAUAACAGCCUAUUGUACGUCAGCCUGGUCGACUGCACAGCGGGAGCUGGCAGGCCAGAAUGACCGUCAGACCACCAGGAAAUGUCCCGGUGCUCCCGAUGGCCAGUCCGCCCCUGGAAAUAACUGACGGAGCGCAAAUUUAACCACCUCUCAGAUGUUUCCUCUAGUCUCUGUGUUGUGCUGAAGCCACGCCAGGAGUCUGGAAUUACACACGUACUGUAUCUAAUGGGCCUCAUCAGUCUCAUCAGUGAGCACAGAAACAAAGCAUCAAGACCUCCUUCUCUGGCAGCGGUCACAGCAGCUCAGUCUCGGGCUGUGGACGAUGAACAGUGAGGCUGAGGUGAGCACAUGGGGUCACGUGGACCGGGACGGAUGGAGUUGUACAGUGCGGAAAUCCUGUCCUGUCUUAUAUUUCCCUCAAGACUAUUGUUCUAGCAUGAUUGCGGAUCCAACUAUGCAAUCAACCGUUAGUUUUCAUAUGAUUAAUCUUUCGCAAACUUUCUAAACAAUCUAAAUUGACCUUCUUUAAAAAUGCUCACGUUUGCUUGCAAUUCCUGUUGAAAUAAAAUGUUUUGGUAAAUCAGAAUUACAAUGUAAAAAGUCAGAAAUUUACUGACAUUCUAAGUCAAAAUGAACACAAAAAUCAUAAUAAAAUGUAGAACUUU